UACGUAGGGCGCAAGCGUUUGUCCGGAAUUAUUGGGCGUAAAGAGCUUCGUAGGCGGUUUGUCGCGUCUGCUGUGAAAACCGGUAGCUCAACCCGUGGCUUGCAGUGGGUACGGGCAGACUAGAGUGUGGUAGGGGAGACUGGAAUUCCUGGUGUAGCGGUGAAAUGCGUAGAUAUCAGGAGGAACACCUGCGGUGUAGACGGCUUACUGGACGGUAACUGGACGCUGAGGCACGAAAGCGUGGGUAGCAAACAGG
This 256-nucleotide ribosomal RNA is filed under the name uncultured bacterium. RNAcentral describes it as "partial 16S ribosomal RNA". It matches the Rfam family "Bacterial small subunit ribosomal RNA", at positions 524 to 776 of the family's 1533-position model. The record is from RNAcentral.